UUCAGCUCAUUUCAAGACUCGUGGAUCUCUAUUUUUCUACCUUUCUUCGUCCAUUGAAUGCUCCAUCUUUCUUGUAUGGUUCAUCUAAGCAAUAAUGAGACCACGAUGUCGAUAGUACUACAGGCUGUCAAUGAAGUUUCUUCCUUGUUGCUUGCCAAUCUGAUUAUACGAGGGGAUGCUUAUGCCUACUCGAACCUUGAGGACAAGGUUCUUAUUGGAGUUGGGAGUAUUGUUAUGAAUGGUCCUAGACAAGUAUUGGACAAGCGGCCCAAUACCGAAUUAAGUGUCGAUGUGGGAUCCGGGUUGAUAAAUAAGGAAUAGUGAGAGCAAAAGAGGGUUAUGAAGAUUGUUGAGAAAAAUGUCUACCCUCUCAUCCCCUUUCUAUGAGUUCUACUUCUCAUCCCCUUUCUUCUACUUGUGUUCUUCAAUUUCUUUUUAGUUCUUAAAUUCCUUUGUAAUUCUAAUUUCGAGUUAGUGAAAUAGAUUUGUCGGGUGUUUGAAUUUGAA
Molecule: long non-coding RNA, 507 nt
Organism: Solanum pennellii
Lineage: Eukaryota; Viridiplantae; Streptophyta; Magnoliopsida; Solanales; Solanaceae
Exons: 2
Source: RefSeq, a predicted model, not a curated record